RNAcentral lists this ribosomal RNA (498 nucleotides) under uncultured Actinomycetes bacterium. RNAcentral's name for it is "bacterial SSU rRNA". It matches the Rfam family "Bacterial small subunit ribosomal RNA", at positions 400 to 912 of the family's 1533-position model. Lineage: Bacteria; Bacillati; Actinomycetota; Actinomycetes. The record is from RNAcentral.
CGUGGGGGAUGACGGCCUUCGGGUUGUAAACCCCUUUCAGCAGGGACGAAAAUGACGGUACCUGCAGAAGAAGCCCCGGCCAACUACGUGCCAGCAGCCGCGGUAACACGUAGGGGGCAAGCGUUGUCCGGAUUUAUUGGGCGUAAAGAGCUCGUAGGCGGUUGCGUAAGUCGGAUGUUAAAACUCAGGGCUCAACCCGGAGACGCCAUCCGAAACUGCGCUGACUAGAGUCCGGUAGGGGAGCAUGGAAUUCCUGGUGUAGCGGUGAAAUGCGCAGAUAUCAGGAGGAACACCAGUGGCGAAGGCGGUGCUCUGGGCCGGUACUGACGCUGAGGAGCGAAAGCGUGGGUAGCGAACAGGAUUAGAUACCCUGGUAGUCCACGCCGUAAACGUUGGGCACUAGGUGUGGGACCUCCUUAACGGGUUCCGUGCCGUAGCUAACGCAUUAAGUGCCCCGCCUGGGGAGUACGGCCGCAAGGCUAAAACUCAAAGGAAUUG